RNAcentral lists this long non-coding RNA (563 nucleotides) under Elaeis guineensis (African oil palm). Its description in RNAcentral is "long non-coding RNA (EGUI_LNC042103)". The record is from RNAcentral. Lineage: Eukaryota; Viridiplantae; Streptophyta; Magnoliopsida; Arecales; Arecaceae.
GAGGGGAUUUGAGAAUAGCUAGCUCCCGAUGGAUUUCGAGAACAAUCGGUGGAGAAAAGAAGGAUAAGUCCAACGACUGACCCUACCAGGGAGAGGGAGAGAAGCUGGCUUGGUCUGGCCUGUCACCAAGAAUGAUCGGUGAAGAGAAGGAAAGAGAAGAUGGGGGAGUAGAUCAGCACUCCAUCAAAAAAUGAUCCACCAUCGAAAAGGACCGGUGAAGAGGGAGAAAUAGAGAGUUGGAGGAGGAAGAAGAGAGAGAACAAGAGAAAGGAAGGAAGGUGAAAGUGAGGGGCAUUGCCACCGUCUGGCUACAGUAGAAAGAAGGAGAGAGAGAGAGAGUGGGAGAGAGGGAGGGAGGAGGCGAAAGAGUGGGGGGGUCAGCCUUCCACCAUCCAACGCCCAUUGGAGGGAGAGAUUCGUUGAAGGGGACUGAAACUCAAAGAGAAGAGAGGGAGGUGGAGGAAGACGGAACUCAAAGAGAAGACAGGAGGGAGAGAGGGAGAGGGGAAUAGAGGGAGGGAGAGAGAGGAACAAGAAGAGAAAGGGGCUUGGCAACGGCCAUC